RNAcentral lists this ribosomal RNA (610 nucleotides) under uncultured bacterium. RNAcentral's name for it is "bacterial SSU rRNA". The stretch from base 1 to 521 matches the Rfam family "Bacterial small subunit ribosomal RNA", at positions 338 to 873 of the family's 1533-position model. The record is from RNAcentral.
CCUACGGGAGGCAGCAGUGGGGAAUCUUGCGCAAUGGGCGAAAGUCUGACGCAGCCAUGCCGCGUGAAUGAUGAAGGUCUUAGGAUUGUAAAAUUCUUUCACCGGGGACGAUAAUGACGGUACCCGGAGAAGAAGCCCCGGCUAACUUCGUGCCAGCAGCCGCGGUAAUACGAAGGGGGCUAGCGUUGCUCGGAAUUACUGGGCGUAAAGGGAGCGUAGGCGGAUAGUUUAGUCAGAGGUGAAAGCCCAGGGCUCAACCUUGGAAUUGCCUUUGAUACUGGCUAUCUUGAGUAUGGGAGAGGUUAGCGGAACUCCGAGUGUAGAGGUGAAAUUCGUAGAUAUUCGGAAGAACACCAGUGGCGAAGGCGGCUAAAAACUGGCCCAUUACUGACGCUGAGGCUCGAAAGCGUGGGGAGGCAAACAGGAUUAGAUACCCUGGUAGUCCACGCCGUAAACGAUGAGUGCUAGUUGUCGGCAUGCAUGCAUGUCGGUGACGCAGCUAACGCAUUAAGCACUCCGCCUGGGGGAGGUACGGUCGCGAAGAAUUAAACUACAAUAGAAGUUAGACGGCGUGAGACGUGCCGAACGGACGACCGACGAGGGAGGUAGG